This 567-nucleotide ribosomal RNA is filed under the name uncultured Glomeromycotina. RNAcentral describes it as "SSU rRNA". It matches the Rfam family "Eukaryotic small subunit ribosomal RNA", at positions 548 to 1114 of the family's 1831-position model. The record is from RNAcentral. Lineage: Eukaryota; Fungi; Glomeromycota.
UUGGAGGGCAAGUCUGGUGCCAGCAGCCGCGGUAAUUCCAGCUCCAAUAGCGUAUAUUAAAGUUGUUGCAGUUAAAAAGCUCGUAGUUGAAUUUCGGGAUUCAUCCGUUGGUCGGGCUUCACGGUCCGCACUGGUGUGAUGGGUUCCUACCUUCUGAAUAACCGGCAUGCCAUUAAUUUGGUGCGCCGGGGAAGCAGAACUAUUACCUUGAAAAAAUUAGAGUGCUUAAAGCAGGCAAGUGCCUGAAUAGGUUAGCAUGGAAUAAUAAAAUAGGACGGCAUGGUUCUAUUUUGUUGGUUUCUAGGAUCACCGUAAUGAUUAAUAGGGAUAGUUGGGGGCAUUAGUAUUCAAUUGUCAGAGGCGAAAUUCUUGGAUUUAUUGAAGACUAACUUCUGCGAAAGCAUUUGCCAAGGAUGUUUUCAUUAAUCAAGAACGAAAGUUAGGGGAUCGAAGACGAUCAGAUACCGUCGUAGUCUUAACCAUAAACUAUGCCGACUAGGGAUCGGAUGAUGUUAAUUUUUUAAUGACUCAUUCGGCGCCUUACGGGAAACCAAAGUGUUUGGGUUC